Drosophila pseudoobscura is the source of this 665-nucleotide long non-coding RNA. RefSeq lists it as uncharacterized. The transcript is spliced from 2 exons. Lineage: Eukaryota; Metazoa; Arthropoda; Insecta; Diptera; Drosophilidae. The record is from RefSeq and is a predicted model, not a curated record.
UAUAUUUUGUGAUUCAAUACCGAUAGCCAACACAAUGUACGUAACCUCAAUUUUUUCGGAAAGUUUUAAAAUCACUUCCGAAUUCGGGUGUGGCCACUUAAUUUGGUCCGGGUGUGGCCACCACUUUUUACUAGUGACACUACACUCGUACAUAUACUAUUAGUUCUUAAGCCCACUGUAAUUGCUUCAAGGGUGACUAUGUUGAAACCGUUGAGCUUUCAUACUCAAUAGCUGCCAGCGAGAAUGAACGGUUUGAUCAGAAUUUGAUGGGCUGAACUGCUGAUUGCUUCAAAAAAAAGGGAAAAGUCUUCGCAAAAGUACGCUCGGUAUGUGUUGUUCAGAAUGCCUCUUAAUCAAACGUGCUUACUCAAAAAAUUGGUACCCGCAUCGACAGUCUUGAAGAAAAAAAUUUGUUCAUGUCUCCGCUCAAAUUGGCAACGCAAUAUCAUCUCAGACGGUUCGUCGGAGCUACAGCCGGUACAAACAAAUGGUUUUGCACGGAGGCCGAUGAAUAGUGGUUGGGGGUUUGUAGAAUUUCGGUAUUUAUUAAUUUGACCACACGAUCACAAACUUUAUAUUCGAAGUAAAAAAUGCCUUUUUUAAGCAUUUGAGUUAUCUGCUCUUGCUAAGAAAACUAAAAGUAAAUUGAAUUUUUAUACACGAUA